Molecule: ribosomal RNA, 468 nt
Filed under: uncultured bacterium
Lineage: Bacteria
Description: partial 16S ribosomal RNA
Rfam family: Bacterial small subunit ribosomal RNA
Source: RNAcentral
GACGAACGCUGGCGGCGUGCUUAACACAUGCAAGUCGAACGGAAAGGCCCUGCUUUUGUGGGGUGCUCGAGUGGCGAACGGGUGAGUAACACGUGAGUAACCUGCCCUUGACUUUGGGAUAACUUCAGGAAACUGGGGCUAAUACCGGAUAGGAGCUCCUGCUGCAUGGUGGGGGUUGGAAAGUUUCGGCGGUUGGGGAUGGACUCGCGGCUUAUCAGCUUGUUGGUGGGGUAGUGGCUUACCAAGGCUUUGACGGGUAGCCGGCCUGAGAGGGUGACCGGACACAUUGGGACUGAGAUACGGCCCAGAAUCCUACGGGAGGCAGCAGUGGGGAAUAUUGCAAAAUGGGCGGAAGCCUGAUGCAGCAACGCCGCGUGCGGGAUGACGGCCUUCGGGUUGUAAACCGCUUUCGCCUGUGACGAAGCGUGAGUGACGGUAAUGGGUAAAGAAGCACCGGCUAACUACGUG